AUUGUAUUAUGCCUGUGAAGCAUUGCAAAGGAUUCCUAGUGUGUUCUUUGCCAACAGCCAUCAAAAAUGAAUGAGGACAAAGAGUCAUCUAAGGAACAGAAAUUUUCUCACUCAAAGAAACAAAAGGAUAAGGGAAACCCAACUCAUAAAAAGAGAGAAUUUUCAUGGCAUAUUGCUUCAAUAAUCCUGGGAAUAAUAUCUUUUUUUCUCUUGCUGGCAACCAGAAUCUUUGUGUAUAUGUUGUUACAGAGCUCUUUUGCAUGCAAAAUACAAGACCUA
This is a long non-coding RNA of Talpa occidentalis (Iberian mole), 279 nucleotides long. RefSeq lists it as uncharacterized. Lineage: Eukaryota; Metazoa; Chordata; Mammalia; Eulipotyphla; Talpidae. The transcript is spliced from 3 exons. The record is from RefSeq and is a predicted model, not a curated record.